RNAcentral lists this non-coding RNA (31 nucleotides) under Rattus norvegicus (Norway rat). The record is from RNAcentral. Lineage: Eukaryota; Metazoa; Chordata; Mammalia; Rodentia; Muridae.
UCCAGAACUUGAUGGAAAGACCCUAUUGCUA